AGCGAACGUUCGCGGCGGGCCUAACACAUGCAAGUCGAACGCGAAAGGGAUUCGUCCCCGGUAGCGUGGCGUCCGGGUGAGUAACACGUAGGAAACCUUCCCUCGAGCGGGGGAUAACGUCCCGAAAGGGACGCUAAUACCGCAUAUGCCCACGUCUUCUUCGGGAGAUGAGGGGAAAGCUGGCCUCUGUAUACAAGCUAGCACUCGAGAAUGGUCCUGCGGCGCAUCAGCUAGUUGGUGGGGUAACGCCUACCAAGGCGAAGACGCGUAGCUGGUCUGAGAGGAUGAUCAGCCACACUGGCACUGAAACACGGGCCAGACUCCUACGGGAGGCAGCAGUGGGGAAUAUUGGACAAUGGGCGCAAGCCUGAUCCAGCCACGCCGCGUGAGUGAUGAAGGCCUC
Molecule: ribosomal RNA, 403 nt
Filed under: uncultured bacterium
Lineage: Bacteria
Description: bacterial SSU rRNA
Rfam family: Bacterial small subunit ribosomal RNA
Source: RNAcentral